AUACGGAGGAUCCGAGCGUUAUCCGGAUUUAUUGGGUUUAAAGGGAGCGUAGGCGGACGCUUAAGUCUGUUGUGAAAGUUUGCGGCUCAACCGUAAAAUUGCAGUUGAUACUGGGUGUCUUAAGUACAGUAGAGGCAGGCGGAAAUCGUGGGGGAGGGGUGAAAUGCUUAGAUAUCACGAAGAACUCCGAUUGCGAAGGCAGCCUGCUGGACUGUAACUGACGCUGAUGCUCGAAAGUGUGGGUAUCAAACAGGAUUAGAUACCCUGGUAGUCCACACAGUAAACGAUGAAUACUCGCUGUUUGCGAUAUACAGUAAGCGGCCAAGCGAAAGCGUUAAGUAUUCCACCUGGGGAGUACGCCGGCAACGGUGAAACUCAAAUGAAUUGACGGGG
RNAcentral lists this ribosomal RNA (393 nucleotides) under uncultured bacterium. RNAcentral's name for it is "partial 16S ribosomal RNA". It matches the Rfam family "Bacterial small subunit ribosomal RNA", at positions 523 to 918 of the family's 1533-position model. The record is from RNAcentral.